RNAcentral lists this ribosomal RNA (503 nucleotides) under uncultured bacterium. RNAcentral's name for it is "partial 16S ribosomal RNA". It matches the Rfam family "Bacterial small subunit ribosomal RNA", at positions 30 to 523 of the family's 1533-position model. The record is from RNAcentral.
AUUGAACGCUGGCGGCAGGCUUAACACAUGCAAGUCGAGCGGGGUGAUGGUGCUUGCACUAUCACUUAGCGGCGGACGGGUGAGUAAUGCUUAGGAAUCUGCCUAUUAGUGGGGGACAACAUCUCGAAAGGGAUGCUAAUACCGCAUACGUCCUACGGGAGAAAGUAGGGGAUCACUUGUGACCUUGCGCUAAUAGAUGGGCCUAAGUCGGAUUAGCUAGUUGGGGGGGUAAAGGCCUACCAAGGCGACGAUCUGUAGCGGGUCUGAGAGGAUGAGCCGCCACACUGGGACUGAGACACGGCCCAGACUCCUACGGGAGGCAGCAGUGGGGAAUAUUGGACAAUGGGGGGAACCCUGAUCCAGCCAUGCCGCGUGUGUGAAGAAGGCCUUAUGGUUGUAAAGCACUUUAAGCGAGGAGGAGGCUCUUUUGGUUAAUACCCAAGAUGAGUGGACGUUACUCGCAGAAUAAGCACCGGCUAACCCUGUGCCAGCAGCCGCCGUAA